This 492-nucleotide ribosomal RNA is filed under the name uncultured bacterium. RNAcentral's name for it is "partial 16S ribosomal RNA". It matches the Rfam family "Bacterial small subunit ribosomal RNA", at positions 29 to 507 of the family's 1533-position model. The record is from RNAcentral.
AGUGAACGCUGGCGGUAGGCCUAACACAUGCAAGUCGAACGGCAGCACAGUAAGAGCUUGCUCUUACGGGUGGCGAGUGGCGGACGGGUGAGGAAUACAUCGGAAUCUACUUUUUCGUGGGGGAUAACGUAGGGAAACUUACGCUAAUACCGCAUACGACCUACGGGUGAAAGCAGGGGAUCUUCGGACCUUGCGCGAUUGAAUGAGCCGAUGUCGGAUUAGCUAGUUGGCGGGGUAAAGGCCCACCAAGGCGACGAUCCGUAGCUGGUCUGAGAGGAGGUUCAGCCACACUGGAACUGGGACACGGUCCAGACUCCUACGGGAGGCAGCAGUUGGGAAUAUGGGACAAUGGGCGCAAGCCUGAUCCAGCCAUACCGCGUGGGUGAAGAAGGCCUUCGGGUUGUAAAGCCCUUUUGUUGGGAAAGAAAAGCAGCAGGUUAAUACCCCGCUGUUCUGACGGUACCCAAAGAAUAAGCACCGGCUAACUUCGUG